Molecule: long non-coding RNA, 29056 nt
Filed under: Theobroma cacao (cacao)
Lineage: Eukaryota; Viridiplantae; Streptophyta; Magnoliopsida; Malvales; Malvaceae
Description: long non-coding RNA (TCAC_LNC004268)
Source: RNAcentral
UCCUUGGAAAUCUUGCUGUUUUCUCCUUUUUCAGCUUCAACAGCAACCUUGAGUUCCUCUGCCCUUAAUCUGGUUUUCAGAACUUGAUCUCCUAAGCGGGGAAUCAACACAAUUUGGCAGUCACUGAGCAAAGAUUCCCACAUGGUUCUUGGACCACAGUGAUUCACGAAACACCCAAUAGAUGGGUGACUGAGUAACAGCUCUUGGGGAAACCAACCACCAUGCAGCAACCCUCUUCCUUGAAUCCUUUCUUGAAACCCCUCAGGCAAUGCCUCUUCAAUCCUUGUGCAUUCGUCUGGUGGUGUUAAAGCCACCAAGAAAGGUUGCCCUGAUAACUCAUGCCCAAGAACUCACUCUUGAAACUCCUCCUUUUGCAAUGUAAUCUGGCUCCCAAAUGCACAAAACACCACAGAACUUGGCUCAAAGUUGCUUAGCCAAUUAGCCCAUUUGUCUUCAAGCUGCGUGGCAUUUGUUUCAGGGAGGCAAGUCCCCCGUUAGCAUUACAGGCUUGCCAAAAUGUUGAGCAACAUAGUCACAGUAAGGUCCCUCAAUUUCACGGUGAGCCCUAAAGGCUAUGACAUCACUGUCAUUCAUGCUAGUUAUUAUCCGGUCCCGAAAUGACAAUCCUAUUCCAAAGAUUUUCAGCGCACUUGUCAGAACGGAAGCCUCUUCAGCUCUGAGUUUCACCUUGGAAGAAGGAUAACCAGGAGGAACUUCUAUCAACUCUUCUACAGUCAUUUCCUUUGUAACUUUCUUUGUCAAGAAAUAAGCGUGUGCGGCUGCAGUCACCACGGCAUAGUAAAUGGACUUGAUGUCGAUUUGGUGCGCCAAGGCUGGAAUCCAAUACCCGAAAUCAUAGAAAACUAUAUCAGGCUUUAUAGACCUUAAAAUGGCUUCAACUUGAUCUCGUGUUUGAUCAAAUGCAAUAGCAAACAAGCUAUGCAGUGGUAGAGGAACAUCGGAUGUAGUUUGGGCGCCUGGCAGGAUACCAUCUACAUGGGAAACAACAAGAGGAAAGAACUGAAUAAGAUUUGGAUAUUGGUUAAGUUGUUCCAACUUUGGCUGUGCUCCUUUAGGCAAUAAGAAGGAGACCUCGUGGUCUUUCUCAGCAAGCUUGUUUGACAGGUGAAGGAAAGGGAUGAAAUGGCCAAAGGAAAACCAUGGAAACAUGGCUACGUGAAGCUUGGAGGUGUUGGAGUUUUUCAUCUUUGCCUUGCAAACUGUGUUACUGUGACUGAGUUCAAAGGAAGUUAUAUAUAGGGGUAUUUUUAAAAGUACCCCUUAAAAGAUAAGAUACUUUUAAAAAUAACUCUCUUUAUAAUUUUAACUAUUUUUAGCUAAAUUAGAUAAAAUUACCCUUAAUAAAAUAACACGCUAUGUUGUUACAUGUCAUGUACAAAAACAUAUGAUACGCUAUGGUUAAGUUGUUACAUGUCAUGUACAAAAAUAUGUGACAUGUCAUGGUUAAGUUGUUACACGUUAUGUUAAAAAAAAAUACUGUUGUUACACGUCAUGUACAAAAACAUGUUACACGCCAUGGUUAGGUUGUUACAUGCUAUGUACAAAAACAUCUGAUAUAUCAUGAUUAGGUUGUUACUUGUCAUGUUAAAAAAAAAUGUUAUUGUUACACGCCAUGGUUAGGUUGUUACACGCCAUGGUUAGGUUGUUACACGCCAUGUUGAAAAAAAAUACUGUUGUUACAUGUCAUGUACAAAAAUAUGUUACACGUCAUGGUUAAAAAAGAUUAUUACAUGUUAUGUUGAAAAAAAAAUAUUGUUGUUACAUGCCAUAUUGAAAAAAUAUUGUUGUUACACGUCAUAUUUAAAAACAAUUUGUUACACUUUAAUGCCUAAAAUAUUGUUGUUAUUUACGAACCAAAACUUCAAUUCCUCUCAACUCUCUUCUUUUUUUUUGUUUUUUUUUUGAUAAUUUAGCGCCAAUUAAAGUGUUUAUAAUAUGUUUUCAUAAAUCAAAACAUAAAUUUUUUUAUCUAAAACACCUAUUUCAACUAAAAAUAAAAAAAUUUCUUUUGAAAACCUAGGUUUAUAAAUUUCAAAAUUUUGAGUUUAUUGGUGUUUAGGUCUCGAAUUGAUUCAAUUAAGAACUAUUUCAAACAUCUAAGAUCAUUUUUACCAUUUUAAUUUUAUCCAAAAUACCUACAAAUCAAAUUCUCUAAAUAGCUACUCACCAAAGCACAUCAAAACCAUUACUUGGUGUCUUGAAAACACAAGAAAGAAAAAUCUUAAAAUGAGAGAGAGAGAAAUCGGAAGUAUAGCAGACGAAUGUCGAAGAGAGAAAUUGAUAAAAUUUGAGAGAGUAGGAUGGUGAGAGAGAAAUCAGAAGCACAAAUGGAGAAAAAUUGUGAUGAAUGAUUUAAUUUAUUUAAAAUAAUUUCAAAAGUAUUUUUGUCAUGACUAAAUAUAAUUAAAAAUAAUUAAAUUUAUUUUAAUGAUUAUUUUUAAAAUAUUUUUAUUAAAAAAAUUUAUUCCUUAUAAUUUUCUCUUAUAUAUAUCAACAUUACGUGCCUGACAAAACUGCUAGAAAUUUUGUCGGCAUGGCCAAAAUGCAAGUCAUCAUAGUAAUUUGCCAUGACAGCAGCCAAAUUUAUAUAAGACCCUACUUGACUUGACGUAGACAUCCUUUCACAGCAGAAAAUGGGUGGAAUAAUUAUCAAAAACUUAAAAUUUUAUUUUAUUAAAUUAAUUAAAUAAGUAAACCGUUAUGUUAACUUUACAUGAAAUAAUUUAAAUAAGGUGGGCCAAGGUGGGGCUCCUUUCAAUGGUACAAAUGCCUUUAAUGAGAGGACACUCGGAAAUGAUCCCUUCAUCAAUAUGAUCCACUCAUACAAAGCCCUUCUUAAAUUAAAAGUCACUUAUGACAUUUGGUAUUACGUUAAUAAUUGAGUUCAAUGCUGGUAGGAGCUCAACAACUUGAUGUAACAAUAUUUAUGAAAAAAAGAAUGUAGAUUCGUGGUCGUAAACGUGUCGCUGGAUAUUGUGCAUUUAUUUGUGUUGAAUUAUUGAGUAAGAUGUAUUCGAUUAAUCAAAUGAAAUAGUUGGUUCAAAGUAUAGUCUUUCAUGUAAUUUUGUUUAACUUUAACACGUUUUUACUAAAUGAAAGUUCAAUCGGAUGAUAUGAGUUUCUAAUCAAUUCGAUAUCCAUAUUAUAUUAGUGCAAUCCAAUUCCAAAAAUUUUUGGGCUUAAUUGUCUCAAUAGCAGCCCCUUCAGCUUUGUAUCUCACCUUGGAAGAAGGAUAACCAGGAGGAAGCUUUAUCAGCUCUUCUACAGUCAUUUCCUCUGUAAUUUUCCUUGUGCUAUGCGCGUUUGCGGCUUUAGAGAACAUGAAAUAGCCAAUGGGCUUGAUGCCGAUUUGGUGAGCCAAGGCUGGAAUCCAAUUUCCCCAAAUCAUAGAAAACCAUAUCAGGCUUUGUAUGGCCCUUAAAAUGGCUUCAACUUGAUCUCGAGUUUGAUCAAUUGCAAUAACAAGCAAGCUACUUAGUGGCUGAGGAACAUCAGAUGCAUUUGUUUUGGAUAUGGCAAUUUCUGCGAGAAUGGAACUAAGGAACUGGGGGAUAUGAAGAAAGAAGUCACGACUACGAGGGAAGAGAUGUGGAGUAUGAAGUCAUAUCAACUAUUGCGCUGAUCCUCCAACAUGUGAAGCCGGUAACCAAUUUAGAGGCUUCAUCACAGUAGUCGGGCCCUUUUAAUAGUAAGGAGGCACGACUGAGGGACAAUGAUACUAGUUAGAUUAUAAGUUUAUUUAUUUAUAUAUUUUUUAUUGAUUGCAAUAUCGAAUAGUUUGUAAUUUUUUAUUUAUUUUUAUAAAAAUCAAAUAUUUUUUAUAAAUAUUAGUAUUUUUCAAUAUUAUUAUUUAUUUGUAUUUGCAUUAUUCAUUUGGAAUGACAACAAGAAUGAACAAAACCAAACAAUUUCAAUGGUCCUAGAAAAAAAAUGGUUUCAGAUACAUUCCACUUUAUUACUAAUGGAAUUACCAAUUGAUAUAGCAGUUUACCGACGAAAUUAUGUACAGCGUUAAUGAUAGAAUAAACUUCAUCAUCGGCAGAAAUGAAGACAUCAUCGAUGAAAACUACAUACAUUCGAACUACUGAGCUUCAUUAGCACUUCUGUUCAAAAUUCUGUCUAUAAAUUACUGGCAAAAUUUGCCGAUGAAAUGCUAUCAAUAUAGACCAAUCAUCCCUCCGACGGAUUGGAUGCUUUGUUGACUGAGUUUUCGAUAGAAUAUUCUGUCAACAAUUUUUCAAUGAAAUAUUCAAAUACUGAUGGCAUGCCCUUUACCGGUGGUGAUAUUUUCUAUGAAUUUUGAACUUUUAUCAACGGAAAUUUUCAUUGGUAAAAGUGUUAAAUUUGGUAGUGGAAUAGCACCUGAGUAUUGGUUCAUUGGUUGGUGCAUUAUCCCCUACCUAAAGAGUAGGGUUCGAAUCCCCUCUCCUUCAAUUAUAUAAAAAAAAAAUAGUAGUGAAAUAACUAUCGUUAGUCAAAAUGUCACUUGUUAUUUCAUGUCACAUGAUGCUAACAUGACAUGUUGAAAAAACAUAAUGACAUUAUUACGUGAUAUUUUUCAUGCUUUGUGUCAACGUCAUAUGAGUAUAAAAACUACAAAAUGACAUUUUAAUUAAUCACAGUUAGUCAAUCUUUAAUAAAAAAGAUCUAUAUGAAUUAAAAUAAAAGUACAGGUUUUUAAUUUAACGUAAUAAAAAAAUAAAUUUUUUUAAUAACUUAGGAUUUAUUGCAAUUUGGGUUUAGGUCUACAUUAGUUUAUAGAUGGGUAACAAUUUAUUGCAAUUUGCAAGACAAAUCUUUCAUUCCAAUUUGAGGGAUUCUUGACUGUUAAUCAUAUUCAGAUUUUAUUAUCAAGGAAAAUACAUCACGCACCAAUUAUUUGAGAAACCACUAACAUUGUUUAUUUAUUUAUUGUAUGGAGCAAUUAACAAUGAGUUCAUGCACUUUUGGACUUUUGAGGGAUUGGGUGAGGAGAGAUGCAUAAAAGAAAAUGAGAAUAUGAUGGAAUAAAUAUAGUUUGUUUUUUUAAUACCCCAACUCAAAAAUACGAUUACAUUAUUAUGUUUCCAAAAUCUUAAACUUGAUAAAUAGGUUUUAUUAAAAUUACUUAUAAAAUAUUUGAGCGUAAAAUAGAAUAGUUGUAUAUUAAGGACCUUUUAGCAAAUAGAGUGGUUUUAUUUUAAUUGGAGUCUGAUUAUAUUAUCAUGUUAAAAAAAAUAGUUAUAUCUUAUCAUAUUUUAAAAAGAAAAUCAAUUGAUUUUAUUUAAGUCAAUUUUAAAAAGAGAAGUAGUAAGACAAGUUUAAAGAAAAACAGGUAAAGUCAGUUUAUUUUAUCACAUAUAAGGAAGUUAAGGUUAGUUUUUAUUAUCAUGUUUAAAGAAAAGAAAAAAAAUACAGCAAAAAAAAUUAUUUGGGAGAAACUAAUCCUAUAGAAGAAGGUAGAAAAAGGAAAGAUUUGUUUAAGAAAGCAGUGAUUAAGGUAUGAUUAGGUUUUGACUUUAGUUUAUGUUUUUUUAAAUUUUGUUCAAAUUCGGUACUGUUCUGAUGACUUUUCAGUGGUAUGAUGGGUACCAAUGGAAAGGUCUUGAAAAGAUCUUUCCAAUGGUUUAUGUAGCUUCUCGUUUGGCUUUAUGAUUAAAAAGAUACGAACUUUUGAAGUUGAUUGGAAACCUGAUUUUAAUAGUUUUGACGAUCCAACUUUGAGUCAACGGAACUUCAUAUUCUGGUAACAUUUUGGGUUGUUUCUUUGAGGGCUUUUGCAGUAUGAAAUGAGGUGUUUAAUUUGGUGUCAAUGGCUUAGUUAGGGCUUCCUAAGUUAGGAGAAUUAAAGUCUCAAAAUAGGUUCGUUGAUAUUAAAAACCCAGAAAUCUGAGUAAGUAUGAUGAUUUCUAAAAUUUUGGCUUUUGAAACUUGAGAAUCUUGUAUUCUUUUUAAUCAAAACAAAUUUUGGCGUUAUAGUAUGAUAUGAAUACUUCAAAUUGGCGUUGAAUUUAUCAUUGGAAAUAAUUCGGGUUAAGAGUUAUCAGUGUUUGAAGUAAGCCAAAUGGUCAUGAAAAUAUGAAAUUUCAAAAUUUAUGAGAAUCCAUUUUUCAUUAUUUCAAAAAUUAUUCUUGACCUAUAUUCAACCUAUUUUGAUAGAAACUUCAGAAAUUUAAGCUAUUUGAAUUUUAGUGAAUUUUAUUUAUGAAUAAAUAUUUAUCUGAUAAAUUAAUUUGAAUUGACAUAUUUUAAAAAUUUUUAUUAAAAAUCUUCAGAUCUAAUUUUUGAUUUGUAUUUAAAAUAUUAUUACCCAACCUCAUAUUGUUACUGAUUUUGUACUAUAAUCUAUGAGUUUCUAAGUUUUGAAUAUUUUAUGUAUUUAUAAAUUAUUAAAGGAAUAAAAAUUGAUUUUCGAUCAGAAAAAAGAGGUGCUGCACCCUAAAUGCCUUAGAAUGACCACCAAAGAGUCGUGGUUCGUUUUGAUAGGUUAGCAAUGCUGUUUUCUAAUUUCGAGUAUUUUGAAUUAAUAGACUUCAAGAAGAUUUUAAUUCUUUGUCUUUUGAUUUUGGUUUUAGCGAAUCAAGUAAGUGACAAAUAUCUCUUCGGUGUUUUCAUACCCUAAAAUUUACCUCAAUGUGAUUUUCAUACUUAUAUAUGAUAUUUUGUCCUAUGAUUUGUUAAAUCGGGUGAGCAUGCUAAUAAAUGUAAGUAAAUAUGAUCUCUAUGCUGAUUUUUGGAAUAUGAUUUCGAUUUUUGUUUUGGAACAUAAGUUUUAUCAUUGUAUGCAUAUAUGAUUAUCUUUAUAAAUAUUUAAUUUGAAACGAUUAUGUUUUUGAUAAGCAUGAGAUAGUGGAUACACUAUUUUGAGAAAUUCGGGUAGUACAAAAAUAUAUGUUUCUGUUUUGUCUCCUAGUAUGGUUAUGUUAUGAUCCUGCCAAUGGGGGUUAAAUGUUGACCAUGUCGACAUAUAUUUUGUGAUUAGAAAUCGAUCUCCCAACCGCACCACCAGUUACAGAAUAACAGUAUUUCUGAUAUCUGUUCAGAGCAGCCAAUGAUUGCUUCUGAUAUGAUUAUGACCCAUGUCACAAGGGUUAAUUGUGGUUUCGAUACGAUUAUGACCCAUGCCACUAAGGUUAAUAAUGGUUUCUGCUAUAAUUAUGACCUAUGUCGUAAGGGUUAAGUAUGACCAUAGUAUGUUAUAGGAGACCAAUAAAAAUUUGAAAUUAAUGUGAAAUUAUGUUUUGUUCUGUUAUUUGAAAGUUUCGAAAUUGUGUUAGUUAUGUUAUUGGAAGCAAAAUUAUGUUUGCUUUUAUAAUUUAAAAAUAAAAUUUUGAAAUAUAUGUUUCUGAAUGAGAUUACUCAAAAUUUUGUUUUGACACCUAUAUAUGAAUUAGUAAUUUGGGCUUAAAUGUUUUGAGCAUGCUUAACCCGAUUGAAGAGAUUUCCGUUACUUACUGAGUGGUUGUACUCAUUCAAUUAAUUUUCAUCAUUUUACAAAUUUCAACAUCUUUGCAUGUUUGGGAGUUAGACUUGCUUGGCAAGAGUUUUGGUUAGCAAAAUUAACGUAUGCCCUUGAAUAAUUAUAAGCUUUGAUGUGAGUAAUUAGUUUUUAGUUUAUUAAGCAGAUGUUAGCUAGAUCAGAAAUUUUGUAUCAUUGGGGGAUUGUAUGUUAAUAUUAUAUUUUGAGACUUGAAAUUUUGUGAGGUGUCAACUUUGAAAAGAUUGUGGAGAUAUUAUAUUGAUUAAGUAUGAUAUUGUUGCCUUGCAUGCUUAUAGAAUUUGUCUCAUAAGUAUGUGACGUUUGUUAUGUUCUAAAACUUUGAGUUUGGAACGUGACAUUUUUCAUCCCCUACCGCUAUUCAAUUCAUUUAGAGCCAAGACAUUAGAGAUUAAGAAUAUUGAAGGAAAUUUACAAUGAACUUAUUGCAUUAUAUCAGAUUGGAAUCUGAUAGACAUUAAGAAAGCUAGGCACAAACACCACUAAAACAGGUUUACCAAACUCGGAUUCUAAAUUGGAUUCUUCUUCUUCUUUUGCAAUUUGGAUCUUAAUUAUUUGACCAGAUCUUGCAGACCUUUGAUGAAGUUAUUGAUAUAUUCUUCUUGAAGAUCUCUGUUAGAAAGAAUCUUCUUGAGCUUGGCAUGGUUUCUCUUCAACAGACCAGAUAUUUCAUUGUCCUUGUCCAUCACCAACUUGAUGGCUUUGCUCAAGUUCUCCUUGGAAAUCUUGCUGUUUUCUCCUUUUUCAGCUUCAACAGCAACCUUGAGUUCCUCGACCAUGAAUCUGGUGUUCAGAAUUUGAUCUCCUAAGCGGGGAAUGAACACAAUUUGGCAGUCACUGAGCAAAGAUUCCCACAUGGUUCCCGGACCACAGUGAUUCACGAAACACCCAAUAGAUGGGUGACUGAGUAACAGCUCUUGGGGAAACCAACCACCAUGCAGCAACCCUCUUCCUUGAAUCCUUUCUUGAAACCCUUCAGGCAAUGCCUCUUCAAUCCUUGUGCAUCCGUCUGGUGUUGUUAAAGCCACCAAGAAAGGUUGCCCUGAUAACUCAAGCCCAAGAACUAACUCUUGAAACUCCUCCUUUUGCAAUGUAAUCUGGCUUCCAAAUGCACAAAACACCACAGAACUUGGCUCAAAGUUGCUUAGCCAAUUAGCCCAUUUGUCUUCAAGCUGUGUGGCAUUUGUUUCAGGGAGGCAAGUCCCCGUUAGCAUUGCAGGCUUGCCAAAAUGUUGAGCAACAUAGUCACAGUAAGGUCCCUCAAUUUCACGGUGAGCCCUAAAGGCUAUGACAUCACUGUCAUUCAUGCUAGUUAUUAUCCGGUCCCGAAAUGACAAUCCUAUUCCAAAGAUUUUCAGCGCACUUGUCAGAUCGGAAACCUCUUCAGCUCUGAGUUUCACCUUGGAAGAAGGAUAACCAGGAGGAACUUCCAUCAACUCUUCUACAGUCAUUUCCCUUGUAACUUUCUUUGUCGGCAAAAGCGCGUGUGCGGCUGCAGUCACUGGGGGAUAGUAAAUGGACUUGAUGCCGAUUUGGUGCGCCAAGGCUGGAAUCCAAUACCCCAAAUCAUGGAAAACUAUAUCAGGCUUUAUAGCCCUUAGAAUGGCUUCAACUUGAUCUCGAGUUUGAUCAAACGCAAUAGCAAACAAGCUAUGCAGUGGUAGAGGAACAUCGGAUGUAGUUUGGGCGCCUGGCAGGAUACCAUCUACAUGGGAAACAACAAGAGGAAAGAACUGAAUAAGAUUUGGAUAUUGGUUAAGUUGUUCCAACUUUGGCUGUGCUCCUUUAGGCAAUAAGAAGGAGACCUCGUGACCUUUCUCAGCAAGCUUGUUUGAGAGGUGAAGGUAAGGGAUGAAAUGGCCAAAGGAAAACCAUGGAAACAUGGCUAAGUGAAGCUUGGAGGAGUUGGGGUUUCUCAUCUUUGCCUUGCAAACUGUGUUACUGUGACUGAGUUCAAAGUAAGUUAUAGAUAUCAACAGACAACAUUGUGUGGCAGACAAAACUACUACAAAUUUUGUCGACAUAGCCAAAAAGCAAGUCAUCAUAGUAAUUACCAUGGCAGCAUCCAAAUUUAUAUAAUACUUGAAUUAGACAUCCUUCAACAGCAGAAAAUGGGUAGAAUAAUCAUCAAAAACUUAAAAUUUUAUUUUAUUAAAUUAAUUAAAUAAGUAAAUAGUUAUAUUAACUUUACAUGAAAUAAUUUAAAUAACUACUUGCGUAUAAAAACUUAAAUAAGAUGCGGCUCUUUUCAAUGGUACAAAUGCCUUUAAUGAGAGGAUAUUUGGAAAUGAUCCCUUCAUAAAAAUCAUCCACUCAUACAAAGUCUUUGAUAAAUUAAAAGUCACUUAUGAUGGAACUUCGAUUAAACAUUUGGUUUAACGAUAAGUAUUGAGUUCAAUGCUUUUUAGAGCUUAAGAACUUGACUCAACAACAUUUAUGAAAAAAGGAUGCAAUGAAAAAAGGAUGCAGAUGCAUGGUCAUAAAUGUGUCACUAGAUACUGUGUAUUUAUUAGUGUUGAAAUCAUUGAAUGAGAUGUAUUCGAUUAAUUAAAUGGAAUGGUUGGUUCAAAGUAUAAUCUAUCAUGCAAUUUCGUUUAACUUCAAUAUGUUUUCACUUAAUAAAAGCUCAAUAAGAUGACAUGAGUUUCUAAUAAUUCGAUAUUCCAAAAAUUUUCAGCUUCAUUGUGUCGGACGUUUUCAACAAUAACAAAUGUGAGACAUAAUUUUUCAUUGGAAAAAUAAAAGAACGAAGAAACUUUAAAAAAAAGAUAAGGAGAACGGAUCUAUAACAAUUGGACUAAAAUGGGUUGAUGUUCAAGAUAGAUGAUGAAUAAACUUUUUAAGUCUUAAUUGGUUUUGAAAUUAAUUAAAUUAAUAAUAUUUAAUUAAUAUAUUAUAAUGACACUUGGUGUCAUGUGCUACAUAGAUUAAUCUCAUUAAUUAAAAAUUGUUAGACGAAUAUUAAGUUUUGUGAAGAACGUAUGCCAAAUCUGAGGCAUUAGCCACAGGGUCCAAGGAUGUAUAAAACAUGGGGUGCUUUACAUAAAAUGGUUAAUGGUGGCAGAAUCAACAGAGGAAGCACUCCCCAGAUGUCUUAUGACUAAUCUGUUUACUGUAACUAAGUUUAUGUUUUGUAGGGUAUCUUGUACAUGGACAUGCAGGUAUCUAACAGACAGUCAAUCAUUUAUUUGUUGGCUGUGUAAUUAUCAAACAAUUGUACAGACCCUCAUUAUGCACUCAUGCUGUAAUAUUAACUUUCAGCUAUAAUGUGCUUUUCCAUUAGUUUUUCAUUUUCAUUUUUAAAAUUUUUACCUGUAAUAGUGUGUUGAAUUUGUCACAUUUUUGGUUAUCUGCAGGAUCAGAGUGUUGUGUUUCAUUCAUUAUGUUGACUUAUAGCAACUUCAUGUGUGUUCAAAGUAAUUUACUAACAAGGUAAUUUGUGGGAUGCUUGACUUGACUCUUGAUCAUAUUCAGAUUUUACUGAUUUACUAUCAAGGUAAUUGUAUCACUCACCAAUUAUUUGACAACCCACUAACAUUAUUUUAGAAAAAAAAAGGAAAAAAACCCACUAACAUUAUUUAUAUAUUUUUGUCAUGGGGCCAGAAACAAUGAUUUCAUGCACUUUUGAUUUUGAGGGAUUUGGGUGAGUGCAUGAUAGAAAAAUGAGCAUUUGAUGGAGUAGAUAUAAUUUGUUUUCAUCCCCUACUGCUAUUCAAAUCAUUUAGACAUUAAUAAAUACAGAAAACUUUCUAAAGCCAAGACAUUAGAGGUUAAGAAUAUUGAAGGAAAUUAACAACGAACUUAUUGCAUUAUAUCAGAUUGGAAUCUGAUAGACAUUAAGAAAGCUAGGCACAAGCACCACUAAAACAGGUUUACUAUACUCGGACUCUAAAUUAUAUUCUUCUACUUCUUUUGCAAUUUGGAUCUUAUUUGACCAGAUCUUGCAGACCUUUGAUGAAGUUAUUGAUAUAUUCUUCUUGAAGAUCCCUGUUAGAAAGAAUGUUCUUGAGCUUGGCAUGGUUCUCUUCAACAGACUAGCUAUUUCAUUGUCCUUGUCCAUCACCAACUUGAUGGCUUUGCUCAAGUUCUCCUUGGAAAUCUCCCUGUUUUCUCCUUUCUCAACUUCAGCUGCAACCUCGAGUUCCUCUACCAUUAAUCUGGUGUUCAGAAUUUGAUCUCCUAAGCGGGGAAUCAACACAAUUUGGCAAUCAUUGAGCAAAGGUUCCCACAUGGUUCCACAACCACAGUGAUUCACAAAACACCCAAUAGAUGGAUGGCUGAGUAACUGUGAAAGAAAAUCAAAGAGUUUCUAAACUCUGUGAGUUAACUAAUUAAACAAAAACAGUGAGUUAAUGAAAGCCAACACAUGUGAGAUAGGAGAAGAAUUGCAUGAAGCCAUGCAAAGCCACACCAACCUUUACAUUAAAAUAUAUAUAUAGUUACAAGAAAGAGAGAGAGAAAGCCAUAAUAUAUUAAAUGAUGGGAGAUAAUUGAUCAUUCUUUCAAAACAUUAGUAACCUAUUACUUAGCGGCCUACAAAGCCAACUACCCACUACGAAACAUCACACAAACUGAAAAAUUGAUAAAGGAACUAACACUUAUAAUAAUAAAAUAGCAGAAACUUAAAUGAAUUACGUGGUCAAGGCACAUGAUUUCUUCUUCUCCAUGCUGCAACAACUCUUGGACACGACUAACUUCAGAAAUAUAUUCUUCUGGUCUUCAGGUCGAGGCUCACUCUUCAACACACCUCCUUGAGGCUGACUUGAAGAACUCCAAGUCUUUCACGUAGUAGCUCGAACUUGUUUUUACUUAGGUUCUUGGUGAGAAUAUCAGCUAACUGAUCACCGGUCCUACAAUGAUUAAGAAGGACAUCUCCAUUGUUGACAACUUCACGUAUAGCAUGGUAUUUCACCCGAAUGUGCUUUGUUCUUCCACGGUGUACUGGGUUUUUAGCCAUAGCUAUAGCAGACUGGUUGUCUAUUAGCAGUGGAGUGGCUUUAUGUUCCCUGAAACUCAAAUCAUCAAGAAUUUUUCUCAACCAUAAAACUUGAUUUGUAGCUGAUGCGGCUGAUAUAUAUUCAGCCUCAGUUGAAUAUUGAGCCACCACCUCCUGCUUUUUUGAGCUCCAAGAGAACACUGCACUUUCAAAUGAAACACAAAAACCACUUGUACUUCGAGAAUCCUCUAAACUCCCUACCCAAUCACUAUCACAAUGUCCAAGUAAAUCAUGGCUUUCUUUUUGGUAAAGCUUAAGGCCAACAUCUACCGUUCCUUUCACAUACCUCAGCACACGUUUAGCAGCUGAGUAAUGAUGUUCAGACGGAGAUUGCAUAUACUUGGAUAGCAUACUAAUGGCAUACAUAAUAUCGGGUCUAAAGGCUGAGAGAUACAAUAAGCUUCCUAUUAAGCUUCUGUAGGUAGAACUACAAGCUUCAGGUGCACCAUCGUUCUUACAAAGUUUCAUUCUAGUGGCUAAUGGUGUUGCAACAGUGUCGUAACGUGCGGGUCCGGGAACCCGAUCGCUAGAAGUGAAUGUGAAAACUCACUAAAAAUUAAACUAGGAGUCGCCACCAAUCUUUUUUUACUAGGUGCGAUUGGCCACCUAUUGACUCGAUUCUAAUCGAUGAAAACUUAAAUUAAUUUUAAGCCCACCGAAAAGAACCUUAAACUGGUCUACAAUUUUCUGGAUCUAGGUUCGGGAGUACGGUUACGCCCGGGGAAGAAUUAGCACCCCUCGGACGCCCGUUCCAUGAACGGUACCAUUUUUAGAUUAUCCUAUUGGGCUUUAAUUUUUAAUUUCACUAAAUUUCCUUAAUUAUUAUUUUUUAUUUUAUCUCCUAUUUAACCUAAAAAGGAAUGCAAAUAGGUGGUGAGAUGAAAUGCAUGACAUGAGAUAAAAAUGCCGGACAAAUAACCUUUUAUCGAGAAUAUUUUUCGAAUCCGCCCAUCAUACUGGUGGGACUCGGGAUAUUCUCUCACCUAGGGAAUUAUCCGAGAAACUCGCCUUCGUAAAUUUGACGAAUAAUUCCCGUCUUCGGGGUCAUCGUACGUUUUCUUUUUAAAAUAAUAUUUUGUGCAUAAUGAACCUAAUUCGAGCAAAAGCCUUUUAUUAAAUAUGGUUCUCGAGCCCUCCCAUCACACUGGUGGGACCCGAGGACAUCUUUUCACCUAAGGAACUUUUCGAGAAAUACCCGCCUUCGCAGGAUCCUCGAAAGAUCCCAUCAUCGGGGCUUAGACUCGAAAACAGAAAUAUUUAUGUGCAAUGAUAUAUAUGAUGCAAUACAUAUAUGCUAUGCUGAUGCAAUUAUCUAUAUUUUUUUGUUAUUAUUAAUUAUUUUUAUUUUAAUAUAUAUUUUAUUAUCAUACUAUUUUUAUGUAUUUUUAUAUUUUAUUAUUAUUUUAUUUUUCAUAAGCGAUUUUUAUUCAAACCUAAUGCCUAAGAUCUUAUUUUAUGUAUAUAUAUUUAUUAUUUUUUUUAUCUUUAUCUUUACAUUUCUUAUAGUUUAUGCCACUUAAUACUCAAUGCUUAAUUUUAAAUUAGUUAUUUUUUUAUAUUAUUAUUUAUUUAUUUAUUUAUUUAAUGUCAUGUAUAUUGUAUUUUCACAAAUUAAUUAUUUAUUAUAUGUUUGAAUUAUUAUUAUUUUAUCCUUAUCUUAUUACUUAUUAUUUAUUUUUAUCAAGUAAUUUUAUCAAGUAAUUUUUUUAUAUAAUCAAGCUCUUUAUUUAUUAAGGAUUUCGGAAUCUUGAAAUCGAGGCCCUCCCAUCGUACUGGUGGAGCCUUGGUUCGGAUUUCGAGCCUAGGGANNNNNNNNNNNNNNNNNNNNNNNNNNNNNNNNNNNNNNNNNNNNNNNNNNNNNNNNNNNNNNNNNNNNNNNNNNNNNNNNNNNNNNNNNNNNNNNNNNNNNNNNNNNNNNNNNNNNNNNNNNNNNNNNNNNNNNNNNNNNNNNNNNNNNNNNNNNNNNNNNNNNNNNNNNNNNNNNNNNNNNNNNNNNNNNNNNNNNNNNNNNNNNNNNNNNNNNNNNNNNNNNNNNNNNNNNNNNUAUAUAUAUAUAUAUAUUUUAAGUCAAACUUAGCACCACAAAAUCAAGCCAAUAUAUCUAUAAUAAAAAUGAAAAAUUUACCUUGUUAUGAAUAGCCACUCCCUCCAACACCGAAACAGUGUCGUUUUGUAAUCAAAAGGGGUUUUGGGUGAGUCAAAACGGUGCCAUUUUUAACCUUUGGCCCCUCCCUCUUUCUUCACUCACCAUUCCUCUCCCUUUCUCCUUCUCGCCCGAUCCUCACUGUCGCUGGCACUGCGUCAUCUCCAGAUCUGGUGCCGCGCCAGCCGUCGCUCCUCUCUCUCUGGUGCCGCGCCAGCCGCCGCUCCUCUCUCUCUUCCUCCGUUCGGUGCUCCUUCCCCUCGCGCCAGAUCUUCACUGUUGCUGCUCCCUUUCUCUCUGGUGCCGCGCCAGCCGCCGCUCCUCUCUCUAUUCCUCCGCUCAGCUCUUCCUUCCCUCGCGCCAGCCGCCGCUCCUCUCUCUUUUCCUCCGUUCGGCGCUCCUUCCCCUCGCGCCAGAUCUUCACUGUUGCUGCUCCCUUUCCUUUCCUCCUCCGAUUUCUUUUGUGGAUUUUUUGGUGUGGCUGCUGCUAUUUUUUCCUGUUGCAGGUUCUCUGUUUUUUGUUCUCUCUUUUUUUGGCUCCUUGGUUGCUUUCCAUUGCUUAGAAAGCUGGUAGUUUUUUUGUUGCAGGUUUUUUUUCCAAAUGCUACAGUGUCCCCUCUCCUUUAUACCCGAUUCCCGGGUUCUGGAGGGGACACGCCCAUUGCCUUGUCCCUGGGCACCCAGGGGCAAGUUCCACUAUCCUGCCAGACGCGAAUUUUUCGCGUCUGGCAAGGUGAGAGAGGUGCCUGGCAGGGUGCGUCCGCACCCUGCCAGUCGUACCUCUCUCCCUUUUUUUUCAUCAUUUUUUGUUCAUUAUAUUUUUAAUUUAGUGUCUACAAACAGCCUUGCAUCCCUACAUAUGAAAUCUUUUCAAAAGUUCCUUAGCAUAUUUCCUUUGAUGAAUACAGAUAUAAUCAGGUCCUUGCACAAAUUUUAACUCCAAAAAAUAAGUCAUCUUGCCUAAGCCGAUCAUAUCGAAUUCUUCCAUCACUUGAGUUUUAAACUGGGAAAGCACUUCAUCAUCGGGACUCGUAACUAGCAAGUCAUCCACAUAAAUGACACUAUCAGUUGCACACCAGUAGAAGAACUUUUCACAUAUAAAGUGUGCUCAUUUGAGCUUCUGUUAAAACCUUAACCAGUUAAGUAGCCAUCAAUCCUUUAGAACCAGGCUCGUGGAGCUUGUUUAAGGCCAUACAAGGCCUUUAUCAGUUGGCAAACCUUGCUUUGAGUGCCUGGUUCUACAUAUCCUUCAGGCCGUUCUAUAUAAAUCUCUUUCGAAAGCAUGCCGUUAAGAAAUGUUGACUUCACGUCAAGAUGCCAAAUGCCCCAGUUUUCUUUGACAGCCAAUGCUACCAACAAUCGUAUGGUGUUGUGUCGAGCAACUGGAGCAAAGGUCUCCAUAUAAUCGAUUCCAUACACUUGGGAAUAACCUUUCACCACAAGCUUUGCCUUGUAUUUAUUUACUGAGCCAUUCGGAUUUAAUUUUGUUUUAUAAAUCCACUUUACACCAAUGACAUUUUGAGCUUCUGAUCGAUCCACCAGAGUCCAUGUCUUAUUUUCCUUGAUCAUUUCCAUCUUCACAUUCAUGGCUUGCACCUAUUUUUCAUCUUUUUCUGCUUCAUGGUAUGUGCUUGGCUCAACGAUGGCUAUGUUGCUACGUUCAUAAAUCUCCUGCAAGGUUCUUGUACCUCUUACAGCUAAGCUUUCGUCUUCUAUCUGCUCUUUUUCACUCGAAAAAAUAUCACCAACCAGAUUAGGAUUCCAUGAUUGUUUAACAUCACUCUUGUCCUAACUCCACUUGAGUCUCUCAUCAAAUCUAAUGUCCCGACUAACAAAUAUUUUCUUGAUCUCAAUAUUGUACAGCCGGUAUCCUGUAGACACUUCACUGAAUCCCAAGUGAAUUGCAAUAUGUGAUUUUGGGUCUAGUUUGCUUUUCUUCUCAUUGGCUAUCUUGGCAUAUCACACACAUCCAAAUACUUUCAAACGGACAAUAGAAGGCUUCAACCUACGCCAUGCUUCAUAAGGGCUUUGAGAAGUCAAUGCUUUUGUAGGCAAGAUAGUAAUCAAAUACAUUGAUGCAUUAGUUGCCUCUGCCCAAAAACUUUUAGGCAAACCUUUUUCAUACAGCAAGCAUCUAGCCAUUCCAAUUAGAGUUCUAUUUUUUCUUUCACAGACUUCAUUUUGUUGAGGGCUGUAUGUUACGGUUAAUUGAUGUUUCACUCCAUUUCUGCCCAAGAAAUUUUCAAACUCAUCUGAUGUAAACUCUAUUCCAUUGUUAGUUCUAAGAAUUUUUAAAGAGCAACUAGAUUUUUUCUCCACUAAAGCUUUGAAUUUGACAAAUUUACCAUAGACCUCAGAUUUCCUUUUAAGAAAAAAAAAAUCCACUUAUACCUAGUGAAAUCAUCAAUAGAAAGCAAGUAAUAAAAACUGCCAUUAAGUGAAGCUACCUUUAUUGGACCUCUCAUUUCAAAAUGAACUAGCUGUAGUUUAUUACUAGUUUUUGAGUUGUUAAUAUUUGGAAAAAGGAGCUCUGCUUUGCUUUCUCAAUUGACAAGCUUCACAUAUUUUAUCUGGUUGACUAACCCUUAGAAGACCAUCAACUAAAUUGGUUGAGUACAUAUGCUUGAGUGAACCAUAGUUCACGUGGCCAAGUCUUUUGUGCCAGAGUUCAUUGUCGGAAGCUAAGCAUUGAUAUGCUUCAUGAUCCAUCUUUUUGAAGUUGAUAAGAAACAUUUGUUUCUCAUACCAAUAGUUAAGAUUUCUUUUCCUGUUAGAUCAAAUAUUAUGCAGGAUCUGUCAUUAAACCAUAUGAAAUAGUCAUUUUCUAAUAACCAACCAACACUAAGCAGAAUAUGACUUACAUCAGGUGAAAAGAAAACAUUAGAAAUUGUUUUCAUACCUAUUGGUGUAUCAACUCCUACCUUUCCUAUUCCAAAAAAUCUUCAAGUAUUUUCCAUUUCUAAUCUCCAUUUGAGUCUUGAAGUUUCUGUUCAAGGUAAGGAAGGUUUCGUCAUUCCCAAUGAUGUGGUUUGAACAACCAUUGUCAAUCAGCCAAUUGUCCUUUCUUUUCUAAAUGUCAAGAUUCCUAGCCAUGAAUAAACUUCUUCUUCAACAAUGGCAGCUUUCUCUUCUGAUUUGUUCCAUUUUACUUUGCAGACUGUCUCGACAUGCCCCAUCUGAUUACAUGACCUACACUUCACGUUUGGCUGAACUAGCAGAACCUCUCAGAAUGGAUCUUCUUUUUACAGUAUGAGCAAGGUGAAAAUGUACUUUUUUGUUUCCUUUAGUUUCCAUCACUGGGUCUUCUAUCCCGUUCCUUUUCUCUUGGUCUUGUUUCUUAAUGUUGGAGUUCUUAUCUCUGUUUUUGGCCAUGAAAGCCCUUUCUACAUUAUCUUCAUGUCUUAUCCCUUUCUUGGCUCUUGGGCCUGUAAGGCGUUUACAAGCUUGAUCACAUUAAGCUGUGACAGAUCCUUGGAGUCUUUUAGAGAGGAAAUCUUGGCUUCAAAUUUCUCUGAAAAGCUCACAAGAACCUUGUUGACUAUCUUUCGUUCAAUCAUGUCUUCUUUGAGCAACCUUAGCUGGUUCACCAGCUUCAUGAUUUUGUUGGAAUACUUCUUGAUGUUUUCAUCUUCUUUCAUUCUUAGGAUUUCGAACUCUCUGUGCAGAUUUAAAGCCUACAUUUGUCAAGUCUUCUCACUUGCAUAGAACUCUUCUUUCAAAUGAUCUUAAGCUUUUUUGGGAUUUUUGCAAGUCAUAAUCCUGGUGAAGAUUGAAUUAGACAAUGCAUAGUGAAUGCAAGAGAGUGUUUUAUACCUCUUUGCAACGUGUUCAUUGUGUUGUUUAAUCUGAGUAAUUGUUGGGUUCAUAUGCCUCAUAACUAGAGUGUCACCUCCCACCUCCAUAAGCUCCCAUAAAUCAAAGGCACCAAGAUAUGCCUUCAUUUUCAUAGUCAUAUGGCAUAAUUCUCACCUGAGAAAGUUGGAGGUGUUGCUGCACUGAAGUUCUGGAAGCCAUAACAAUUAAUUUUUUGAAUAAUUUCACAAAAAAGGUCCCUUAAGAUAUUUAAGGCUCUAAUACUAUGUGAAAGAAAACCAAAGAGUUUACAAACUCAGUGAGUUAACUCGUUAAACAAAAAUAGCGAGUUAAUGAAAGCCAACACGCGUGAGAUAGAAGAAGAAUUACAUGAAGCCAUGCAAAGCUACACCAACCUUUUCAUUAAACAAAUAUAUAUAUAUAUAUAUAUAUAACUAUAUAUAUAUAUAUAUGUAUAGUUCAAGAGAGAGAAAGUCAUAAAAUAUUAAAUGAUGGGAGAUAACUGGUCACUUUUUCAGAACACUAGUAACUUAUUACUUAAUGGCCUACAAAGCCAACUACCCACUAAGAAACAUCGCACAAACUGAAAAACCGAUAAAGGAACUAACACUUAUAAAAUAGCAUAAACUUAAAUGAAUCACGUGGUCGAGGCAUGUGAUUUCUUCUUCUCCAUGCCGCAACAGCUUUUUGGCGUGACUAACUUCAAAUAUAUAUUCUUCUGGUCUUCAAGUUAAGGCUCACUCUUCAGCAGUAACAAUUGCUGGGAAACCCAAGCACCAUACACCAACCUUCUUCCUUGGAUCCUUUUUUGAAACCCCUUAGGCAAUGCCUCUUUAAUCCUUGUGCAUCCGCAUGGUGGUGUUAAAGCCACCAAGAAAGGUUGCCCUGAUAACUCCAACCCAAGAAGUAACUCUUGAAACUCCUUAUUUAGCAAUGUAAUCUGACUUCUGAAUGCACGAAGCACCACAAAGCUUGGCUCAAAGUUGCUUAGCCAAUUAGCCCAUUUGUCUUCAAGUUGUGUGGCAUUUGUUUUAGGGAGGUGAUGCCCUGUUAGCAUAACAGGCUUGCCAAAAUGUUGAGCAAUAUAGUCACAAAAAAGCUCCCUUAAUUUGAUGGUAAGUCCUACAGGCUAUGACAUCAUUGCCUUUUAUGGCAGUUGUUAUCCAAUUCAAUUUUUUACCCACGUAAGUGUACGUAUCGCAAAGAUAAUAUAGAGAUGAGUAGAGUGUCAAUUCCACAGAGAAUUGAAUUAAUCCUUAUUCUUAACUACUAAAAUUAACACACUUUAAUUUUAUCUAAACAAUUAAAAUUAAAAAGGAAAAUUUAAAUUAAUAAACUAAAAACUAUAACUGAAACUAAUCUAAAAUCUGUUAAAAAAUUUACUUUAUUAAAUUUGAGUGACUACCAGACCUAGGAUUAUAAUAUCCCUCAAUACUUCAUUUGAAUAUUGUCUCUCUUUCUUAACUUAGUUUAAUGGAUUAAGUUGCUAACGUAGAGUUCUAAAUUAUUUACAAGUCUCUAUCGAGUUUCUCAUAAAAAUACCUCCCUUAAUUAAUUUACUAUAUGUCUAUGCAAAUUAUAUUGAAGAAAGAUUCAUUAAGUUUGUGCUCUAAUUUUGGCUACGUAUGGCUUAUAGGUGUAUGUCUACCCUAUAUGCAAAUCAAAUCACCUAAUCAACUAAGUGUAUUUAAUCAUACACUAUUCUAUUCAAGGUCUACCUAAAUCUCAUUAGUCAAGGUUUAACCUAGGUUUUCAAUUCAAUCUAAUUGGUGGCCAGUCAACUAGAAGCAUUAAGAACAAAAUAAAAUAAACAACUUAAAUUUAUCAAACAUAAGUAAAAGAGAGAUAAAUAAUUCAGACUUCAUAUUGAGUUCAAUCAUAAUAUUAGAUUAAUGAAUUAGUUCCCCAUCAAGUCACAUAUUAUCGUUGAAUAAAGUUUAAACAUUAAGAGCAAAACUAAGAAAAUAAGAGAAUAAAAGAAAAGAUAGAAAAACUCAAGAGUUGUAUUCUUGAUCUUCAAAUCUCCUUAAAUCUUUCAAAUUUUUCUUAGCUUCAAUGACUCUAUGGCUUGACUCUUAGCUGUUAAUUUGGUGUUUUUUUUCCCUUUUUUAACUAUUUUGAAAGGUUGUUUUUAUAGACUUUGAAGUUGGGUCAAGUUGGGUGGAGAAAGAAGUCAAUUUUAGCUAGAAUUUCCUCACCAAACUAUGUGAGUCGCAGCCUUGCCUAAUUAAUUAACAAAAAUCGUAUUGCUCUAGGAUUGUUGCAGUGCAUCAAUUUCAAUAAUAUUUUAAACCAUUUUUUAGGCCGAACUGGGUAAAGUGGUCAACAUAAAAGUUGUAGUUUUUUAUCUUAUCUUUCCAAUGCUCCAAGAAUUGCUUCAUUUGAAGCUCUUUAGAGAAAGUUAUGGCUAAGAUACUAAAACAUAUGCAUUAGAAGUCUGCAUCUUGAAAUUGCUCUCAUUCUUCCAUUAAAAUUCUUCUUUCAUCAAACACCUACAAAAGCACAAAUAAAUCAAUAACAACCUACCUUAACCAUAUUAACACCAAAUUAAGCAUAAAAUUAACUAAAAUUAGAAUAACUCACCUAAAAUAACUAAUUUAAAAUAAUUAAAUAGAACCUACUAAUUUCUAUGCAUUACUACAAGCACUAAGCUAAAUUACUAUCAAAAUUAAGCUCAAAUAACUCUAUAUCAUAGAGUUAUCAGCAGAAUUGUUACAAUAGCAACUUUUUCAGCUUUUAAUCUUACCUUGGAAGAAGGACAACCAGAAGGAACUUUUAUUAGCUCUUCCACAAUCAUUUCCUUCGUAACUUUUUUCAUGACAUGCGUAUUUGCAGCUGUAGACACCACGGCAUAGUGUAUGGACUUGCUAUCGGUUUGGUGAGCUAAGGUUUGAAUACAAUGCCCCAAAUCAUAAAAAACCAUAUAAGGCUUUAUAGCCCUUAAAAUGGCUUCAACUUGAUCUCGAGUUUGAUCAAAUGCAAUAGCAAGCAAGCUACUUAGCGGUUGAGGAACAUUGGACAUAGUUUCGGCGCUUGGGGGGAUACCAUAUACAUGCGGAACAACAAAAGGAAAGAAUUGAAUAAGAUUCGGAUAGUGGUUAAGUUGUUCCAACUUUGGCUGUGCUUCUUUAGGCAAUAAGAAGGAAACUUGGAGGCCUUUCUUAACAAGCUUGCUUGAGAGGUGAAGAUAAAGGAUGAAAUGGCCAAAGGCAAACCAAGGAAACGUGGCUACUUGAAGCUUGGAGGAGUUGGAGUUUCUCAUCUUUGUUUGAAAUUCUGCCUAGAAAUCAAGGAAGAAAGAAAGAAGAUGUAUGUGUCUAUCAUCCAAAUUAUUUAAAACCCUCAUUCACAUCAAUAAACAGUGGUGGUAUGGAUAUCAAUAAUUGAGCUAAGAUUUACAGUUCAAAGGCAAUUGUAUGGAUACAAUGGAUUUUUCCCUUUUUUUUUUGACGUCAAAGAAUUAAAUAAGUCUCUAAACCAUUUAGAAAAAUUUAAAUAAAGUUUUACAUUUAAUCAAAUCUUUGUACUUUUGUUUUGAAACCAAAUAAAUUUUUAUAUUUUUAUUUUGAGUCAAAUAAACCUUUAUACUAAUAAUUUACUUAAUCAAAAUGUUAUUUGUCAUAAUGUGACACUAACGUGAAAUACUAGCGUUUCAUAAUUAAUGAUGAUAUGGCAUAUUGAUGUAUCAUAAUUGAUGAUGAUGUGACAUAUUAAUUUGAAAUUAUAAUUUGACUAUAUUACAUUUUUCACUCUCCAUAUUAACGCCAUGUCAGUGUCAUAUGGAUAUAAAAUGAUAAUUAGUAUUUAAACUAAUGAUAAUUAGUCAAUCAUUAGUUAUAAGAACUUAUUUGAUCCAAAAUAAAAAUAUAAGGAUUUGAUUGAACACAAUAAAAAAAUAAAGACUUAUUUGAAUUUUCUUAAAUAGUUUAGGUACUUUUUUGAGCAUUAUGUCAAAAAAAAAAAUUGAAUGGAUAGUUUACAUCUAGUUCUUUAUCAGAUAUAAUUCUAAUGUUUUCUUGUUUAAUUUUUUGAACAUGUAUAUAUGUUUAUCAUAAAAUCAAACGUGUUAAAGUACUUUUAAUUUCAUGAUUAAUUAAAAGAAAUAUAAAUAAAUCGAGAUGAAAUCGUCAAGUUUAUGGGGUUUUCAUCUUGUUAAAAGUGGCAAGGUUAAUUGUUUUCGAGGAUAACUGUUUUUUUCUUAAAUGACAUUGUAGCUUAAUUGAUAUAUGAUGCAUUGCUCCAUAAAAAUUGAGUUACCUUAACGAUAAGUUUGUCAAAUAGGAAAUUUAUUUCACAAACAAAACUAGAAUCCUUGCAAUUCUACAUGACUGCAUGCAUGCUGACAGAAAGCCUACAACUUAAGAUUAUCAUAUGAAUGCAGCUUUGCUUUGUUCAGUUUGAAUUUAUUUAGAAUAUUAUAGACCCAAAAAUCUAGAAUAUAAUUGCUGCUCAUCUUUUUGUCUUUUGGAAUUGUUUGAAGAUGACAAUAUGUACAACCAUGAUACUAAUAUAUAUAUAAAGGAGGGAUUGGUGUUUAGUUUUAUGUCUUUUUAUUAUUUCCUGUAUAAUUAAUGUUUAGUAAAUUAUAUUUUUAUUUAAUAACUUACUUAUACUCGAAUGUAGAGUUUCUCCAAAUCAAUUCGAUAUUCAUAUUAUAUUAAUUUAAAAUAUUCUCUUUUUUAAUAUAUAUUCAACGGUCGAAAUUUUGUUGUAUCAAAUAAAUAGUUAAACAUUUUUAAUUGUUUAAAAUUUGACAUGCAUGAUUCUUGUGAAUAGAUCAUGAAAAUCCAACGGUUGGAUUAAUGAAAUACAAAUAAAUUUUACACUAAUGUAAGUAAAUCCCUUGUCUCGUCUAUCUCUCUAUAUAUUUAUACUUAUAUAGUAAUAUAUAAGAAAGCAUAUGAACCCUAAAGGUGUAAAUAGUUAACCACAUAUACGCUCUUAAUAAUUUAUUAAAUUAAUUUUUUACCCUAAAUUAAUAAUUUUAUUUUUAAAUUAAAAUAUUGAUAUAAAAAUAUUUUACAUAUGAAAUAAGUUUUUAUCCUUCCAAAGCACACUUAAGUGAUAAAAAUAUUUUUUGAAAAGAUUCUACUCUGUUCCAAACGUAGCCCAAAUAAAUAUCAUUUUCCAUACUCAUAAAGUAAAUCUUCGAUUUGAAUUUUUUUUCCCUUUUAUAUCUUACUCUAAAGGGUAAUUCUUUUUAAUCCCGAAAUUUAUAGGGAUUUUUUCCCCUGUUGUUUUGACUAUGUUUUUCCAAAUCAAGCCAACUUCUUAAUAUUCAUACAUGUUCUUGAUUAAUACAUCUGUGUUCCCCGAGGUAAAUAAAUGAAACAAAUACUAUUACCUUUUAUAUUUAGACGGCUUUUAAUUAUUCUAUGGGUUUGGCAUGUUUACGUGUUAGACAUCCAAGUCCACUUGUGGUCCGACUCUUACUGUCAAUGUUGCAGCCGCUCCUCCAUUGAAUAUCGAGGAACUGAGGGAAUUGAAGACAAAAGUCACGACUAUAAGGGAUGAGAUGUGGAAUAUGAAGUCAUAUCAAGUGUUGCGCAGAUCCUCUAAUAUGUGUAGCCGGCAGCCAAUUUCGAGACUUCAUCAUAGCAGUCGGGCCCUUUUAAUAAUAACGAGGCACGACUGAGAGAUAACAACACUAGUUAGAUUGUAGGUUUAUUUAUUUAUAUAUUUUUUAUUGUUUGUAAUAUCGAAUAAUUUGUAAUUUUUUAUUUAUUUUUAUAAAAAUCAAUUUUUUUUUAUAAAUAUUAGUAUUUUUUAAUAUUAUUAUUUAUUUGUAUUUGUGUUAUUCAUUUAGAAUGACAACAAGAAUGAGCAAAACCAAUCAAUUUCAAUGUUCUUAGAAAAAAAUGGUUUCAUAUAGAUUCCACUUUAUUACUAAUGGAAUUACCAAUUGACAUAGCAGUUUACCGAUGGAAUUAUGUACGACGUUAAUGACAGAAUAAACUUCAUCACCAACAGAAAUAAAGAUAUUAUCGAUGAAAACUACAUACAUUCAAACUACUGAGUUUCGUAAGCACUUUCGUGAAAAAUUUUAUCGAUAAAUUACAGACAAAAUUUGCUAACGAAAUCCAAUCAAUAUAGACCAAUCAUCCCUCCGAUGGAUUGGAUGCUUUGCUGAUUGAGUUUUCGAUAGAAUAUUUUGUCAACAAUUUUUUGACGAAAUAUUCAAGUCUUGAUGGCAUGCCCUUUACCGGUGGUGAUAUUUUCCACGGAUUGUGAACUUUUAUCGAUUGAAAUUUUCAUCGAUAAAAGUGUUAAAUUUGGUAAUGGACUAACUAUCGUUAGUUAAAAUGUCGUUUAUUAUUUUUUGCCAUAUGAUGCUAACAUGACAUAUUAACAUAUCAUAAUAGAUGGUGACAUGACAUGUUGAAAUGACAUAAUGACAUAGUUACGUGGUAUUUUUCAUGCUUCGAGCCAAUGCCACAUGAGUAUAAAAAUUACAAAAUGACAUUUUGAUUAAUCACAGUUAGUCAAUCUUUAAUCAUAAAGGUCUAUUUAAAUUAAAAUAAAAGUACAAAAAUUUAAUUUAACAUAAUAAAAAAAUAAAUAUUUAUUUAAAAUUUUUUAAUAACUUAAGAUUUAUUGCAAUUUGGGUUUAGGUCUAUAUUAGUUUAUAGAUGGGUAACAAUUUAUUGCAAUUUGCAAGAGAAAUUUUUCAUUGCAAUUUAAUUUGAGGGAUUCUUAACUGUUAGUCAUAUUUAGAUUUUAUUAUCAAGGAAAAUUUAUAACGUACAAAUUAUUUGAGAAACCACUAACAUUGUUUAUUUAUUUAUUGUAUGGAGCAAUUAACAAUGAAUUCAUGCACUUUUGGACUUUUGAGGGAUUGGGUGAGGAGAGAUGCAUAAAAGAAAAUGAGAAUAUGAUGGAGUAGAUAUAAUUUGUUUUUUUGUAAUACCCUAACUCAAAAAUACGAUUACAUUAGUAUGCUUACAAAAUCCUAAAUUUGAUAAAUAGGUUUUAUUAAAAUUACUUAUAAAAUAUUUGAGCAUAUAAUAUAAUGGUUGGAUAUUAAGGACCUUUUAGCAAAUAGAGUGGUUUUAUUUUAAUUGGAGUCAGAUAAUAUUAUCGCGUUAGAAAAAAACGGUCAGUUAUAUCUUAUCACAUUUUUUUAAAAAGAAUCAGUUAGUUUUAUCUAAGUUAAUUUUAAAAAGGAAAAGCAAUAAGACACGUUUAAAGGAAAACAGGUAAUGUCAGUUUAUUUUGUCACAUAUGAGUAAGUUAAGGUCAGUUUUCAUUAGCAUGUUUAAAGAAAAAAUACAGUAAAAAAAAAAACCAUUUGGGAGAAACUAAUCCCAGAGAAAAAGAAGGUAGAAAAAGGAUAGAUCUAUUCAAGAAAGCAGUGAUGAAGGUAUGAUUAGUCUUUAACUUUAGUUUAUGUUUCUUUAACUCUCGUUCAAAUCCAGUAUUGUUUCGGUGACUUUCCGAUGGCAUGAUGGGUACCAAUGGAAAAGUCUUGAAAAGAUCUUUCCAAUGGUUUGUGUAGCAUCUCAUUUGACUUUAUGAUUAGAAAGAUACGAAUUUUUGAAGUUGAUUGGAAAUAUGAUUUUAACAGUUUUAACGACCCAAAUUUUGGGUCAAUGGAACUUCAUAUUCUAGUAACAUUUUGGGUUGUUUCUUUGAGGGCUUCGUAGUAUGAAAUGAGAUGUUUAAUUUGGCAUCAAUGGCUUGGUUAGGGGCUUCAUAUGUUAGGAGAAUUAAAGCCUCAAAGUAGGUUUGUUGAAACUGAAAAACCUCUGAAAAAGUUUGUGAUAAUUUCUAAAUUUUUGGCUUUUGAAACUUGAGAAUCUUGUAUUCUUUUUAAUCGAAACAAAUUUUGGUGUUAUAGUAUGAUAUGAAUACUUCAAAUUGGCAUUAAUUUCAUCACUGGAAAUAAUUCGGGUUAAGAGUUAUAAGUAGUUGAAAUAAGCUAAAUGGUCAUGAAAAUAUGAAAUUUCAGAAUUUAUGAGAAUUCAUUUUUAAUUAUUUCAAAAAUUAUUCUUCACCUAUAUUCGACCUAUUUUGAUAGAAACUUUAGAAAUUUAAGCUAUUUGAAUUUUAGUGAAUUUUUUUAUUAAUAAAUAUUUAUCUGAUAAAUUAACUUGAAUUGACAUGUUUUGAAAAUAUUUAUUAGAAAUUAUCAGAUCUGAUUUUGGAUUUGUAUUUAAGAUAUUUUCACCCAAUCUCAUAUUGUUAUUGAUUUUGUACUAUUAUCUAUGAGAUUCUAAGUUUUGAAUGGUUUAUGUAUUUAUAAAUUAUUAAAAGAAUUAAAAUUUAUUUUCAGUCAGCGAAAGAGGUGCUACACCCUAAAUGCCUUAGAAUGACCACCAGAGAGUCAUGGUUCGUUUUGAUAAGUUAGCAAUGUUGGUUUCUAAUUUUGAGUAUUUUGAAUUAAUCGGAUUCAAGAAGAUUUUAAUUUUUUAUCUUUUGAUUUUAGUUUUAGCGAACCAGGUAAGUGAUUGAUAUCCAUUCAGUGUUUUCACACCUUAAAAUUUGCCUCAAUGUGAUUUUCAUACUUGUAUAUGAUAUUUUAUCAUAUGGUUUGUUAAAUUGGGUGAGCAUGCUAAUAUAUGUAAGUAAAUAUGAUUUUUAUGCUGAUUUUUGGAAUAUGAUUUUGAUUUUUGUUCUGGAACGUGAGUUUUAUCAUUGUUUGCAUAUAUGACUAUUUUUGUGAAUAUUUAAUUUGAAACGAUUAUGUUUUUGAUAUGCAUGAGAUAUGGUUUGAGAAAGUGGAUACAUUAUUUUGUGAAAUUAGGAUAAUCUAAAAAUAUAUAUUUAUGUUUUGUCCCCUAGUAUGGCUAUGUUAUGAUCCUACCAAUUAGGGUUAUAUGUUGGCCAUAUCGACAUGUAUUCUGUGAUUAGAGAUCCAUCUCCCAAUUACACCAUUAGUUACAGAAUAAUAGCUGUUCAGAGCAACCAAUUGCUGUUUUUGAUAUACUUAUGACCCAUGCCACUCGAGUUAACUAUGGUUUUGAUAUGAUUAUGACUCAUGCCAUUGAGGUUAAUUAUGGCCAUAGUAUGUUACAAGAGACUAAUAAAAAUUUAAAAUUAGUGUGAAAUUAUGUUUUGUUCUGUUAUUUGAAAGCUUCAAAAUUGUGUAAGCUAUGCUAUCUGAAGUGAAAUUAUGUUUACUUUUGUAAUUUAAAAAUGAAAUUUUGUGAUAUAUGUUUCUGAAUGAAAUUACCCAAAAUUUUGUUUUGACACUUAUAUAUGUAUUAGUAAUUUUGGCCUAAAUGUUUUGAGAAUACUUAACCCAGCAGAAGGAAUGUCCGUUGCUUGUUGAGUGGUUGUACUCAUUCCAUUAAUUCUCAUCAUUUUACAGAUUUCAACAUCUUUGCAUGUUUGGGAGUUAGACUUACUUGGCGAGAGUUUUGGUUAGCAAAAUCAACGUAUGCCUUUCGAUAAUUAUAAGUUUUGAUGUGAGUAAUCAGUUUUUAGUUUAUUAAGUAGAUGUUAGUUAGAUCAGAAAUUUGUAUCAUUUGGAGGAUAAUAUUUUAAUAUUAUAUUUUGAGACUUAAGGUUUUGUGAGGUGUAAAUUUUGAAUAGAUUGUGGAGAUAUUAUAUUGAUUAAGUAUGAUGUUGUUGCCUUGCAUGCUUAUAGGAUUUAUCUCAUUAGUAUGCGGAGUUUGUUAUGUUCUAAAACCUUCGAUUUAGAACGUGACAUUUUUCAUCCCCUACCACUAUUCAAUUCAUUUCGAGCCAAGACAUUAGAGGUUAAGAAUAUUGAAGGAAAUUUAAAAUGAACUUAUUGUAUUAUAUCAGAUUGGAAUCGGAUAGACAUUAAGAAAGCUAGGCAGAAAAACCAUUAAAACAGGUUCACUAAACUCGGAUUCUAAAUUGGAUUCUUCUUCUUUUGCAAUUUGGAUCUUAAUUAUUUGACCAGAUCUUGCAGACCUUUGAUGAUGUUAUUGAUAUACUCUUCUUGAAGAUCUCUGUUAGAAAGAAUGUUCUUGAGCUUGGCAUGGUUUCUCUUCAACAGACCAGAUAUUUCAUUGUCCUUGUCUAUCACCAACUUGAUGGCUUUGCUCAAGUUCUCCUUGGAAAUCUUGCUGUUUUCUCCUUUUUCAUCUUCGACAGCAACCUUGAGUUCCUCUACCAUUAAUCUGGUGUUCAGAAAUUGUUCUUUUAAGCGGGGAAUCAACACAAUUUGGCAGUCACUGUGCAAAGAUUCCCACAUGGUUCCCGCACCACAGUGAUUCACGAAGCACACAAUAGAUGGGUGACAGAGUCAUAGCUCUUGGGGAAACCAACCACCACUCAGCAACCCUCUUCCUUGAAUCCUUUCUUGAAACCCCUCAGGUAAUGCCUCUUCAACCCUUGUGCAUCCGUCUGGUGGUGUUAAAGCCACCAAGAAAGGUUGCCCUGAUAACUCAAGCCUAAGAACUAACUCUUGAAACUCCUCAUUUUGCAAUGUAAUCUGGCUUCCAAAUGCACAAAACACCCCAGAACUUGGCUUAAAGUUGCUUAGCCAAUUAGCCCAUUGGUCUUCAAGCUGUGUGGCAUUUGUUUCAGGGAGGCAAGGCUCGGUUAGCAUAACAGGCUUGCCAAAUGUUGAGCAACAUAGUCACAAAAAGGUCCCUCAAUUUCACGGUGAGCCCUAAAGGCUAUGACAUCACUG